Tarenaya hassleriana is the source of this 603-nucleotide long non-coding RNA. RefSeq lists it as uncharacterized. The transcript has 3 exons. The record is from RefSeq and is a predicted model, not a curated record. NCBI's taxonomy places the organism in Eukaryota, Viridiplantae, Streptophyta, Magnoliopsida, Brassicales, Cleomaceae.
GCGGCGGUCGAAAAAGAGAGAGAGAGAGGACGUAGAAGGCGAAAUCGAAGUUUGAAGCGGCGGUCGAAGUUUGAAGUUGAUAAUCCAAGAUGAGUAAUAUAUCUGAGGGGAGUUCGAGGUAUACAGUGAAGGGGUGCCCCCGUAAGUGUGAAUGUGGAAGCCGAGUUAUAAUGUGGACGUCACGAUCUCCAAACAAUUCGGGUCGGGUAUUCUUCCGUUGUGCUAAACAAGAGGGUAACUAUUGUCAUGUGUUUAAAUGGGUUGAUGAGGCUAUGGUGGAGGAGACAGAGGACUUACAUAAAGAGUUAGAAGAAGUCAUGACAGAACUUAGAAAUCAGAAAGAAGAGUUGGAUACCUACAAAAUGGAGCUGAAAAAAAACACAACCGAGCUGAAAAGUAAUACGGUGGAGAUGGAAAGAAACACGUUGGAGCUGAGAAACAACACAGAAGAGUUAAAAAAACACAAUAGAGCUGGAAAAACACAUAAUGGAGCUCGAAAAUGUCAAAACUAGAAUGGAAGGUCCUAAAGAUAUAAUCAAUAAAUUGGCUGUAAUUGUUGUGGUAUCACUAUGUAUUGUUAGCUAUUAUAAUGUGUUACCAAAG